RNAcentral lists this unclassified non-coding RNA (234 nucleotides) under Hevea brasiliensis (rubber tree). Lineage: Eukaryota; Viridiplantae; Streptophyta; Magnoliopsida; Malpighiales; Euphorbiaceae. The record is from RNAcentral.
GGGGAAGCAAGGGAAGGAAAUCUACAGUAGGGAAUAAGGGUGUUACAAAUUAUGUUUUAUAUCUUCAUGUAUAUCAAUCUUCAUUUAUAUCAACAUUCACCCAAAAAAUAUUCUAUUUACUACAUAAAAAUUUUGUUCAAGACUUUAACGAUUACCCCAUCCAUCCGUAAAUCCAGGAGCCUGUGGGUAGAGCUCGGACUCGGAUUUUACACCUUGAGAUUUUUUCAGUUAUAG